AGAGGGAACGGUGAUGGAUUGCCACCGGGUUCCUUGUGGGCCGAACCGCCACCCGGUUGCCGGGGAAGGCUGAUGAUUCCUGCCAACAG
RNAcentral lists this non-coding RNA (89 nucleotides) under Saccharibacter sp. M18. RNAcentral's name for it is "Saccharibacter sp. Fluoride sequence". It matches the Rfam family "Fluoride riboswitch aptamer (crcB RNA motif)". Lineage: Bacteria; Pseudomonadati; Pseudomonadota; Alphaproteobacteria; Acetobacterales; Acetobacteraceae. The record is from RNAcentral.